This is a long non-coding RNA of Lagopus leucura (white-tailed ptarmigan), 756 nucleotides long. RefSeq lists it as uncharacterized. The record is from RefSeq and is a predicted model, not a curated record. NCBI's taxonomy places the organism in Eukaryota, Metazoa, Chordata, Aves, Galliformes, Phasianidae. The transcript has 4 exons.
UUCACCUUGGAUUGAAAUGCUUUUCCCUGGAACUCUUUGCCCUUCUGCAGGGGGAUUGAAGAGCUCUGCUCCUUAGCUUGUGAGACAGAAUCACCGCGGGUGCUGAGAGAGAGCAGGAAAUCACCUUUGUAAAGCUGUCCAGAAAGCCUUGAAUUCAGCUUCCACAGAGGAUUCCACGAGGACCGCAAGCUGCUCAGUCUACAGGGAGCUGCUGCUGGAUCUGGUGCUCCUGCUGAGCCUCAGGUGAGAUAUAACCCUGCUACAGAUUAUAGACGUGUUUUGGUUGAAAUUCUCUGUGCUUGAUGCAUUAUCUGCCUACAACGCAGGGCAAACUCUGCUCCUCCCUUCUGGCCUGGCCUGUAAUGAUGGAUUAAGUAGAGCUGACACUUGGUGGAAGAGUUGCUGGUGUGCCUGGAGGUGCAGAGUGAGGUGGGCUGGCCAAAGGAGACCUCUGCUCCCCCGUAGACACUGAGCUGCUGCUUGGGAACGGAUCUUGGGGACCAGAAACAGCUCCUGAACCUCCAGCAAGUGACCUCGGGAUGCAAGUGGUGUCUGAAUCUCUUAGAGUCAUAGGAUUAUGAAGGUUGGAAUAAAGCACUGAGAUCAUCAGCCCAUCCCCACCAUGCCCACUAAACCAUGUUCCUCAGUGCCACAUUCUCCCUCAUUUUGGGACCGCCUGGGAGCUGGAAGGUUUAUUGUUAUGGAUGGUUUCAGCUGGAUUUCUCUCUUCUUUCAAACAAAGUGUUUCCUCUUGAA